AAAAAAUAAAAAUAAUCAAUUAUUUGAGAGAAAGAAAAGAGAAGUUGCCUUUGCCUUCAACCCUAAGCCCACAGCCAAUUUAAGGAAGAACACCCUCCUCUGAUUUCCAUAUCUUCUCUCUCUAUCUAUCUAUGUAUUUUUCCUUGAAGUUGCAGAUACUCUCUUCUCUCUCUUAUCUUCUCCCUCUCUCUAAAGUAGAUUUUUCCAUGAUGAGGUUGAUAGGUUACUGAAAGACUGUCAGAAAUUGCCUGAUCAUUAAUAUCAUCAACGUGGGAUAGAGAAGCCACUUCAGAUAUAUUUUGGAGGAAUUUAUUUGUCUGACAGAAUCUGGAGGCAUGCCUGUAUCAGGAAACGACGAGACUGCUGUUAAAUCCCAUGCUGGGCAGUCUAGUCUUAAUAUUGCAGGUGUUCCUAUGAAGAAAAGGAGAUUCAUUUGGCCUCCUUCACCUACCCCUGAAGAACAAUCUUCACUACCUGUAGAAAAUGAUUCUCUAGAGAAACAACACAUUAGCCCAUCUCGGGAUUCUGAAUUGGUAAAUAAGAAACCUUCCGACAAUAAUUUGUCAACAAAUAGUAUUAACCACUCAAGUUAUAGAAUUGAAGAACCAAGCGGGACUCUGUCUGAUUCUUUGGCUAAGCUUGAUAAUGAUGAGAUGCUUGUGGCACCAGAAAAAUCGGCUAACAUCCUGACUGGGAUUAAACCCCUUGGUGGUGUUCCUAUGAAGAAAAGGCGGUUCAUUUGUCCUUCUUCACCUGCACGUGAAGUUCAAUCUUUACCAGCUAUGGAAAAUGAUUCUCUACAGAAAGAACAUGAUAGCUUGUCUCAGGAGUCAACUCCUUCAAGUGCUAGUGUUGCAGGAAGUUCUUGCUUAUCUGAUAAAAACAAGAAUAUUUUGCCCGAGGAUAGUAAGAUGCUUCCUGAAAGCAUUGUGCAUACCAAUACUAUAAACCACUCAAGAGUUAAAAUUGAAGAACCACACCAUACGGUUCGGUCAGAUUCUUUGGCCAAGCUUGACAAUGUGGAGAAGCUUGUGGCAGCAGAAAAAUCAGCUAAUAUCCUGGUAAAAUUAGAAGAAACUGAAUUGAAUUUAGUUCCAAAUAAAGUCCCUGCACUUCAUGUUAAUAAAGAGAUAUUUAACCAGCAAAUAGCAGAAGGAAAGUGCAAAGAGAAAUCUAUAGUUUCUGGGAAUCCUGAAUUUUCAUUAGGUUUGAAGGAACACGGUCUCUGUGCUUUGGAGGAUCAAAGACAUGAUGGGAAUAGUUGUAAUCAUGGAAAUGUAGAACCUGUUUCGUUGAAUUUGUCUUUAAGCAACAGUGAAAGGAGUACCCAGUAUAAAAUGGAUGAUGUGCAGUCGAAUACUGACAGUGCUAAUAUCUGUGCUGACAGAUCAAAUUGGGAUUUGAAUACUACAAUGGAUACUUGGGAAGAUUCUGUGAGUGAUAUAGCUGUAGGUCAAGUAACUGCUGAUGGAUCAGGGUCACACAUGGUUGGUGUCUUACGUGAUUUAGAGCCAUCAAAAUUAACAGGAAUAGUUGGAACCAGUGUUUCUACUGAAAAGAAAAUUAUUGAGAGUGAGUGCAGAUCUAGUUGUUCUAAAAUAUCUUCACAAUCUGGCCAACAGCAUAAUUCUGAGGAUUCUCUUCAUUUGCGCCUUAGUCCAUCUUUUCUUUCUUUUAGCAGUCAGGAACCUUCUAGUUCAUGCGCUAACAAAGACUCCCAGACUGCUAUUCCUAAUAUUAGCUUCCCUAGAGGAUUGUUAUCAGCAGGCAACACGGUUAACUCUAGAACCAUAAAAUCUGAACCAUUUGAUGAUAAUAGCCUCGAACAGGAUUCUAGCGGUACUAAAGCCAAUCCAACAGUACCAUUAGGUUUUAGACCAGUGUCAGUGAAGUGUGAAUUAGUUGAGAAGCUUGCUCAAGAUCCCCUCAAGGCAUUAAAUUUUAGCACUGUGAAACCAGUUGAUGCUAAAUCUAUGAAAUCUGAACCAUUUCAUGAGGGUAAUUCAGAAACACCAAAGACAGUAGAUGGGACGUCACACCAAUCUGAUAAGCAGGUGCUACAUGGUGAGGAUACCGGAGGACAAUCCACUUGUUCAACAAAUGAACAUAUUCUACAAGGUCAGGACAUAACAGGACAACCUACUUGUUCAACAAAUAAACAUGCACUGCAAGUUCAGGAUACUGGAGGACAACCUACUUCUUCAAUGCAUGAACAGGUGCUGCAAGGUCACAGUAACAUAACAAAACCUACUUGUUCGAUAGGUUUCUCUGAGAAUGGCAAUGUGUCAGACAAUUUAGGACGUGGCGAAGGUGAUGGAGAAGCCCUUUUCAACAACAAGGCUCCUAAGGAAUCAUGUGAAAGUGUUGGGCAGCUUGCUCUAGAAAUGGGUUCUCUGCCUGUAAGUCACAGUGGUGACGAAAUUAAUGAUUCUGGUGCAGUGGAUGUUGCUGUUGCUGAGAAGAAAAAAGUAAAUGACUUUGACCAGUGCAAACUCAAAGUCAUGAAUGAACUUCCCUCUGAUCCAUACCGAAAUGGUGAGGGUGCUGUAAGUGAUGAGGAAAAGAUUAAUUUGUCAGGUGAUAUGUUAGAAGAAGACUCGUAUGGCACUGAAUAUGAGUCUGAUGGCAAUUCUGUGCCCAUGGAUAUAGAAGACGACGGUCGAGGGCAGGAUGACUAUGAAGAUGGUGAGGUCAGGGAACCACAACUGCAUGGUGUAGUAGAGAGUCCUUUAUGUGCGAAAAGAAAGGACAUUAGUCAUGGUGAUUCUUACGGUAAAAAGGUGGAUUCUGCAGGGCUACAUGCUGAUGCUCAUCCUACUUCAUCCUGUGUUGAUGGAAAGGAAACUAAUGCAGAAGAACCUGUGGAAAUCAAUAAAGAUAAUGUUGAAGAAUGUAUUGACAUAAUUCUUGAUAAGAAACCCAUUGAUGAUGCCGAUAAAGAUGUUUCUAGGGAAGAAUCAUCAGCAGUUGAGAUCUCGGUCAGUGGAGCUGAUAAAAGGAAGGUAGUCAAGACCAUUAGAAGAAAACCACUCGACUUAUCAGCAAAUAAAGAUGUUAUGAAGAGUCUUGGAACUGAAAAGUCAUCAGAUCAAGCAGUUAGUGGAGGUCAAGGAACUUCGGUUGCUGUUGCUCAAGGAACAGAUGAGAAUGCAAAGACCAAUGAUGUGGAACAAAAUGAUUCAUCAUUACCCAAGGUGGAAACAUCAAUAAAUGCUGAUGAUGCAACUAAGGAUGCCAACAGUGGAGUUAAUCAGAGUAGGAUUAUAAAUCUGUCUAUAGCUUCUAACAUGUCUUCUGCUGUUAAGUCAAGAUAUAUAUCAGGCAGGCCAUUAUCAUUGCACCCUGGAAGAGAAAGAUUACCUGAUAUACCUUUAGAGGGAGACAAACUACAUCCUCGAGGGAGGGAUGAAACUAAUGAGGAUUCCCGCAAGUUCUCAAGAGAAAGGUAUCAAGAUCAGUCAUCCAGAAACUCUAGAUGGAAUUAUGUCCACGGUAGAGGGAGGCUUGCUAGUAGGAUUGACUCUAUGUGCAGUGAUAGAGAUUCUGAACGUGAUUGCAUUCCCAGACAUAAAUAUGCGCCUGCUGUUGCUGCAUCAGAUGCUGAAUUCAUGAAUUAUAGUAUUGGACCAGAUGGUGCAUUUGUUGGUUCUGUUCGGGGAGGGAGAAAGCUAUUGGAAGAUGAGACAUCAAUUUUCCGUCAUCUAUCCUCAAGGAGGCGUUCCCCUGGAGGGAGAGAUGGACCUGCCUCUCGUGGGCUUCCAAUGGUUCGAAGAGUUCCAAGAAGCAUUGGUGAAGACAAUUCUGAAGUUGUUGGACUAAGGCAUGCUGAUAAGAUUAUGAGGGGAUUUCCAGAUGAUGGUGAAGGACAUGCAUAUACACGUCCCCAACCUCCCUACGAGGGAUUAGAUGGUCGUUUUGUACAAGGGACUAGGACCUUUUCUUCUGUUCAGAGAAGGGGUCUUCCUCAAAUACAUUCAAAAUCUCCAAUUAGAUCUCGUUCUCCUGGUCCAUGGUCAUCUUCUAGGAGAAGAUCUCCAGAUGGGUUUGGUGUCCACCCAGAAUUGUCCCACCGAAGGUCACCAAUUUACAGGAUGGAGAGGAUAAGAUCACCUGAUAACCCAGGUUUUCCUGCAGAGAGGGUGCCUAGGAGGCAUGGUUCCCCAUCGUAUUUGUCCCGACCUAAUGAUUUGAGGGAAAUGGAUCCUGGUCGGGAUCAUGGUCAUCCAAGGUCUAUCAUCUCUAAUAGGAGCCCAACUGGCCGGAUUUUUCUCAGAAACAGUAGGAGAUUUGGUGUUGCUGAUCCUAGAGAAAGGGCAGAAAAUGAUGAGUUUUAUGAGGGACCCAUGCAUCCUAGCCGGUUUCAUGAACUUGGUGGUGAUGGAAAUGGUCAAGAGAGAAGGUUUGGUGAGAGACGGGCACCUGUUCGUGCUUUUAGGCCUCCUUUUAAUGGUGCUGAUGGUGAAAAUUUUCCUCUCAAUACAGAGGAUGGCCCUAGGUCCUUUAGGUUCUUCCCUGAAGAUGAUCCGGAUUUCCAUGAACAAGCUAAUUUGAGGGGAAGGGAAUUUGACAGACGGAUCAAGAACCGUCCAGGAAAUGCACCUAGAAGACCAAGAAGCAUUGAAGAACAAGAAGGAAAUUACCGGCAUGGAGGGCAGGUGUUGUAUGACGAUAGUUUUGAUGAUAUGUCGCGAGUGAAGAGAAAAAGAUUUUGACUAGACUAAUUUACAUCUGCAAUAUGCUAGAUCCUGGACUGCUUAGUGGAUAUGAGGAACCGGAAGGCAGAAUUAGUUCUGGUAAUUACAGCUAGAUAUAGGAAGUUGCUAUUCUGUUUGUGGUUCUCAGCCACUUUGUGAGUGUGAUAUGGAGUUAUGGAUGCUGGGUUGAUUUUAGACCACAUACUACCAGAUACUUGCAACUACUGGAUGAUUGAUCUGUCUUGUACAUACCUUGGAUCUUCUUACAACUUUUCUACCAGUUAUUUGCUAAUUCUUGAUAUUAGCAGCACUUCUUCAAAAGUUUCAUUUGAGCAAGUUUUGUACUGUCAUGAUUAUGGUGGCUCUUUAUAUAUUUUAUGGGUCAUUUAGGUGAAAUAUUUUUUAUAUAUAUUCUGUGGAGAUCCUCGAGCUUCUCAAAGCAUCUUUAGCUUUUUGUGCUGAUUAUUGUGCUUAGUUGGCCAGAGCAGGUAUGCUACAAGGAACUAUUUGAACUUUGAACUAAUUUCAAGCCAUCAAUGGAGCUUUGUUUUGAUUCGAUUCUUCACAUUCGUUUUGUGAUGUUGCAAAAGUGUGAAUCCUUCAAAUCAUGUUGCCAAAUUUGUGAAGUCAGCUGAUACAGCUUUUGCAGGGGUGCUGAAGGCCAGAAGGUUUUAUUAAG
This 5373-nucleotide unclassified non-coding RNA is filed under the name Hevea brasiliensis (rubber tree). The record is from RNAcentral. Lineage: Eukaryota; Viridiplantae; Streptophyta; Magnoliopsida; Malpighiales; Euphorbiaceae.